Molecule: ribosomal RNA, 301 nt
Filed under: uncultured bacterium
Lineage: Bacteria
Description: partial 16S ribosomal RNA
Rfam family: Bacterial small subunit ribosomal RNA
Source: RNAcentral
CAGUCGCCGCGGGAAUACGUAGGGUGCAAGCGUUAAUCGGAAUUACUGGGCGUAAAGCGUGCGCAGGCGGUGUUGUAAGACUGAUGUGAAAUCCCCGGGCUCAACCUGGGAACUGCAUUGGUGACUGCAACGCUGGAGUGCGGCAGAGGGGGAUGGAAUUCCGCGUGUAGCAGUGAAAUGCGUAGAUAUGCGGAGGAACACCGAUGGCGAAGGCAAUCCCCUGGGCCUGCACUGACGCCCAUGCACGAAAGCGUGGGGAGCAAACAGGAUUAGAUACCCCCGUAGUCCCUGUCUCUUAUAC